UAUCCAAAACUCAAUAGAUAUAUCACGAGACACACCUUCCUUUUGAAACCUAUGAAACCAUGUUUGAAAAUAUCGCCAUUUCCACUUCAUCAUCUAGUUACUGUAUUUUCUUCAAUUCGAUAUUUUGUCGAGUCUUUUUGUUGUUCUAGAGAUGGUUAUUGGUAAUUUUGUAGGAGGAGAAGAUGCGGAAGUAAAUAAAGAUGGAAAGAAGAAAUUCAUCACUAAAGAACAAGAACCAUAACAGUAAGCAAUUCAAUUCUUAACCGUUAUAGCAAAAUUUCAUUUACUUAUGGUGUCUUAGCAAUAUGUAGGUAUUGGCAAACAGUAUGGGAAAGGGAAGGGGAGAAUCUAAUGAUGAACAACAUUGAAAUUAGAGAGAUGGAAAUAGGAAUAGAGUUGAAUCGAUUACCUAAUGCGUGCGUGAUGCGUUUGCAUGCGAUAAUAGAAGCAAAUAGGAGCCUGCGAUCGAAAGGAAGUAUUAACAGGGAAGCUACAACAACAUGAGAUAGGGAUAGGGAAGCUACGAUCUUAAAGCUCCUAUGAACAUGAUUGUUGUAUUGAAAUUUACAAGUGAGGGCAAUGUUGUCUAUUUAAAAUGGGUUUUUAAUUAUAAUGAUUUAAUAUUAUAAAAAAAAUUAUGAAUCAAUAAAAAUUAUCAAAAAAAAUAGGUUUGGGUAUAUAUGAUAUUAAAAAACAUUAGCAAUGACAAAUACGAUAUUAUGAAUUUUAUCCGGACAAAUACGAUAUUUAGAUGUUUAGCAAGGAUAUAUACGAAAUUCUGCUUUUUUUUUUAUACGUUCACGGUAUAAACACGGGUUAUAAUUUAGUUUCAUACUUAGGAAAACAAAACACUCACACGAUACUAAUCUCACAUUCAAGAUGCAAGGAUACUAUAAAAGUAUAAAUUAAAGAAACUCUCUUUCAUGUAUUGGGAAACGGAAACUAUAAGCAUAUGCCGACAUAAAACACGAAAAUAGAAACUUCACUUAUACCAUAUAUAAAAGCACAAAAUCAGAAUUAAACAAUAGUAUGAUUUGAACAAUAUAUCAACCGCAUGAUGUAAUCUUCAUAACCUCGCCUUCAAAUGUUGCGAGAUAGAGGAACAGAUUACCUUUUGAAUUUUAAAACCUUUUUUGAAUUUGAGAUUAGUAUAAAUAUGCUUUGUAUCUAAAUAAUAUUAAUAUCCAUGUACGUACGUAUAUCCCAAACCUAAAUCCCGUAAUUAAUGUAUAGAUAGGCAAAGCAAGUCAAGCCAUUAUGUCAAGAUAAACUUCUUCAAUUCGUGUGUAUAAGAAACCUAAUGCUAUAAAAACGAGGGAUUACAAAGCAAACAGUUUAUUCUCAUGAUAUUCUUCCGAAAGAGAAA
This 1366-nucleotide long non-coding RNA is filed under the name Lactuca sativa (garden lettuce). RNAcentral's name for it is "long non-coding RNA (LSAT_LNC005830)". The record is from RNAcentral. Lineage: Eukaryota; Viridiplantae; Streptophyta; Magnoliopsida; Asterales; Asteraceae.